Molecule: ribosomal RNA, 253 nt
Filed under: uncultured bacterium
Lineage: Bacteria
Description: partial 16S ribosomal RNA
Rfam family: Bacterial small subunit ribosomal RNA
Source: RNAcentral
UACAGAGGUCUCGAGCGUUAGGCGGAAUUACUGGGCGUAAAGCGCGUGUAGGCGGUCUGGCAAGUCAGAUGUGAAAGCCCCGGGCUCAACUUGGGAACUGCAUUUGAUACUGCCAAGCUAGAGUACAGAAGAGGUGACUGGAAUUCCCAGUGUAGCGGUGAAAUGCGUAGAUAUUGGGAGGAACACCAGAUGCGAAGGCGGGUCACUGGGCUGAUACUGACGCUAAAGCGCGAAAGCCAGGGGAGCGAACGGG